Molecule: ribosomal RNA, 398 nt
Filed under: uncultured Methanosaeta sp.
Lineage: Archaea; Methanobacteriati; Methanobacteriota; Methanomicrobia; Methanotrichales; Methanotrichaceae
Description: bacterial SSU rRNA
Rfam family: Archaeal small subunit ribosomal RNA
Source: RNAcentral
GAGAACUUUACAAUGCGGGAAACCGUGAUAAGGGAUAUCUCGAGUGCCAGCAUAUAAAGGACGUGUCCAGAUGCUUAAAAAGCAUUUGUUAGGAAGGAGCGGGGAAGACCGGGGCCAGCCGCCGCGGUAACACCGGCGGCCCGAGGGGUAACCGUUAUUUUUUUGCCCACUGAAGGCUGUAGCCGGCCAAGUAAGUCCUUUGGGAAAUCUGGUAGCUCAACUAUCAGGCUGCCAGGGGAUACUGCUUGGCUUGGGACCGGGAGAGGUGAGAGGUACCUCAGGGGUAGGGGUGAAAUCUUGUGAUCCUUGAGGGACCACCAGUGGCGAAGGCGUCUCACCAAAACGGGUCCAACGGUAAGGGACAAAAGCUAGGGGCACAAACCGGUUUUUAUACCCGG